GAUAGACUUCCCAAAGAAGGUGAUGCCGAAGCUGAGGUCGGAAAUUACGAAGAUCAGCUAUCAAACUUGGAAAUCAUGUCUUAGAGAUCAAGGAGCCAAGAGAUGAGACAAGCCUGGGUUCCUAGGUGAUAGGGUGUGGCUGUGUCCCCACCCAAAUCUCGUCUUGAAUUGUAGCUCCCAUAAUCCCCACAUGUUGUGGAGGGACCCUGUGGAAGAUUGUGCCUGCAGCCUGGCCUGUUGCCCACAGCGGUCUACCUGCCACACUGGGAAAGAUCGAGCAGAGACAGAGAAGAAAAGGAGGCUCCAUUUUUCAGGCUGCUCUCCCGCAGGCUCAUGUUUUGUGUUCAUGCCAGGCAGAGAACACAAAAUGUUCCAAUAAAUAAGUAUCAAAGCAUCUACUUGUUUCCAAAGUUAUUUGGGUCAGCAUUUUCCUCCACCCACCACUUAAAACUGAUUUGUUUCAUACAUUUGAAAUGUAUGAAAAGCCAGAAAUCCAGGACCCACCCUGGCCUGCUCCCUUUUUCUCACCUACUGUGUUAAGAUGUCUACACUUUUACCUCUGCUUGCCUGAUACAACCACCACCAGUCACCUCACAGAAUAACUCACUCCUUAAGAAUCUGAUCAGGAAUCAGCCUUCCCUGAUCACAAACACUGAGUUUAGAAGUCCCUCCACAGUGUCCCCCGUAACCCUGUGCUACCUCACUGCCUCAUAGUUUAGUGCCGUUUGUGUACAUGCCUAUCUUCGUCCAUGGAUCCAGAACAACUUGUAAAAAUGACUGUACUUAUCACCUUCAGUAUUCAAUGACUAAACUAUAAUUUUAACAUAUCUGGCAGAAUGAAUCACUUGGGGAUUUCUGCCAACACUACCAAUAUAUUACUCCUAAUUUGUAAUUAUUACUUAGCAUGGAUUAUAGUACCGGCUGUUGGAGAGCCAAUGUGGCAGACCCUAAGUGGAAUAAAAUGUCAGUAGCAGUCUAGGAGCAUAUAUUUAUUGGAAUAGAUCAUUCAUUCAUUUGUUCAUUAACUAAUUUGUUCAUUAAAUAAACAUUUAUUAAGCA
RNAcentral lists this long non-coding RNA (1059 nucleotides) under Homo sapiens (human). Its description in RNAcentral is "CCDC26 long non-coding RNA". The record is from RNAcentral. Lineage: Eukaryota; Metazoa; Chordata; Mammalia; Primates; Hominidae.